CUGCAAGUCGAACGGACCGAUCCUGUCGCAGCGGACCGAGGAUUCGUCUGACGUCCAAAGCUUGGGAUAGGUUAGUGGCGUACGGGUGAGUAACACGUAGGUGACCUGCCCCGAAGAGGGGGAUAACUGCUGGAAACGGCAGCUAAUACCCCAUGUGAUCGGCGAUUCGUUUCGCUGAUUAAAGCUCCGGCGCUUCGGGAGGGGCCUGCGGCCGAUUAGCUAGUUGGUGGGGUAAUGGCUCACCAAGGCGAUGAUCGGUAGCUGGUCUGAGAGGAUGAUCAGCCACACUGGCACUGACACACGGGCCAGACUCCUACGGGAGGCAGCAGUGAGGAAUAUUGCGCAAUGGGCGAAAGCCUGACGCAGCAACGCCGUGUGGGCGAUGAAGGCCUUCGGGUUGUAAAGCUCUGUCAGGAGGGGCGAAUAUCCGCCGGGAACAAUACCCCGGCGGUUUGACG
Molecule: ribosomal RNA, 458 nt
Filed under: uncultured bacterium
Lineage: Bacteria
Description: bacterial SSU rRNA
Rfam family: Bacterial small subunit ribosomal RNA
Source: RNAcentral